RNAcentral lists this long non-coding RNA (341 nucleotides) under Volvox carteri. RNAcentral describes it as "long non-coding RNA (VCAR_LNC000557)". The record is from RNAcentral. Lineage: Eukaryota; Viridiplantae; Chlorophyta; Chlorophyceae; Chlamydomonadales; Volvocaceae.
UUGGGUGAAGGGAGCGUGGCGGGGAUGCGGUGCGGGGAAGGGUGGCGCAGGCAAGGGAGGGCAGAGGGGGCGGACAGAGGAGGGUAGCUCGGAGGGUGGGUCGGACACUGGUGAGGAAGAGGUCCUAGCCGCUGGCGCUGGGGAGGAGUCCAGCUCGGAGGACACGGGCAAAUAUAGUGAAGCUAGCAGCAGCAACAGUGGCAGUGGCAGCAGCGGCAGUGGUGGAAGCGAGCAGUAACAUGGCAGCAGUGAUGAGCGAUUGGGGGUGCACACACCAGGUUGGCCCCAGGCAGGAUGGGACAGACCAAUCCCAAUAGGUGCCGGUACAUGUCAUGCAUCGG